RNAcentral lists this ribosomal RNA (104 nucleotides) under Pterospora andromedea. RNAcentral's name for it is "4.5S ribosomal RNA". Lineage: Eukaryota; Viridiplantae; Streptophyta; Magnoliopsida; Ericales; Ericaceae. The record is from RNAcentral.
GAAGGUCACGGCGAGACGAGCCGUUAUUUCAUUAUGAUAGGUGUUAAGUGGAAGUGCAGUGAUGUAUGUAGCUGAGGUAUCCUAACAGACCGGUAGACUUGAAC